UGAGAGGGUGUCCGGCCACACUGGGACUGAGAUACGGCCCAGACUCCUACGGGAGGCAGCAGUGGGGAAUAUUGCACAAUGGGCGCAAGCCUGAUGCAGCGACGCCGCGUGGGGGAUGACGGCCUUCGGGUUGUAAACCUCUUUCAGCAGGGACGAAGCGAAAGUGACGGUACCUGCAGAAGAAGCACCGGCCAACUACGUGCCAGCAGCCGCGGUAAUACGUAGGGUGCGAGCGUUGUCCGGAAUUACUGGGCGUAAAGAGCUCGUAGGUGGUUUGUCGCGUUGUUCGUGAAAACCGGGGGCUUAACCCUCGGCGUGCGGGCGAUACGGGCAGACUGGAGUACUGCAGGGGAGACUGGAAUUCCUGGUGUAGCGGUGGAAUGCGCAGAUAUCAGGAGGAACACCGGUGGCGAAGGCGGGUCUCUGGGCAGUAACUGACGCUGAGGAGCGAAAGCGUGGGGAGCGAACAGGAUUAGAUACCCUGGUAGUCCACGCCGUAAACGGUGGGUACUAGGUGUGGGUUUCCUUCCUUGGAAUCCGUGCCGUAGCUAACGCAUUAAGUACCCCGCCUGGGGAGUACGGCCGCAAGGC
This 591-nucleotide ribosomal RNA is filed under the name uncultured bacterium. RNAcentral describes it as "bacterial SSU rRNA". It matches the Rfam family "Bacterial small subunit ribosomal RNA", at positions 293 to 894 of the family's 1533-position model. The record is from RNAcentral.